RNAcentral lists this ribosomal RNA (704 nucleotides) under uncultured archaeon. RNAcentral's name for it is "bacterial SSU rRNA". It matches the Rfam family "Archaeal small subunit ribosomal RNA", at positions 325 to 1031 of the family's 1478-position model. The record is from RNAcentral.
ACGGGGCGAGCAGGCGCGAAAACUUCACACUGUGCGAAAGCACGAUGAGGGAAUCCCGAGUGCCAACUCGUAAGAGUUGGCUGUUUCUCUGUCUAAAAAAUAGAGAGAGUAAGAGCUGGGUAAGACGGGUGCCAGCCGCCGCGGUAAUACCUGCAGCUCAAGUGGUGGCCACUAUUAUUGGGCCUAAAACGUCCGUAGCCGGUUUAAUAAAUGCCGGGGUAAAUCGUGUAGCUUAACUAUACGAAUUCCGGGUAGACUGUUAGACUUGAGACCGGGAGAAGCUAGAGGUACUCCUGGGGUAGAGGUGAAAUUCUGUAAUCCUAGGGGGACCACCAGUGGCGAAGGCGUCUAGCUAGAACGGGUCUGACGGUGAGGGACGAAGCCCUGGGGCGCAAACCGGAUUAGAUACCCGGGUAGUCCAGGGUGUAAACGCUGCUCGCUUGAUGUUAGUUGGGCUCCGAGCCCAACUAGUGUCGGAGAGAAGUUGUUAAGCGAGCUGCCUGGGAAGUACGGCCGCAAGACUGAAACUUAAAGGAAUUGGCGGGGGAGCACAGCAACGGGUGGAGCGUGCGGUUUAAUUGGAUUCAACGCCGGAAAUCUCACCGGAGGCGACGGUUACAUGAAGGCCAGGUUGAUGACUUUGCCUGAUUUUCCGAGAGGUGGUGCAUGGCCGCCGUCAGUUCGUACCGUAAGGCGUUCUGUUA